CUACGGGUCGCUGCAGUGAGGAAUAUUGCACAAUGGGGGGAACCCUGAUGCAGCAACGCCGCGUGGAGGAGGACGCAUUUCGGUGUGUAAACUCCUUUUAUAUGUCAAGAAAAUGACGGUAGCAUAUGAAUAAGCACCGGCUAACCCCGUGCCAGCAGCCGCGGUAAUACGGAGGGUGCAAGCGUUACUCGGAAUCACUGGGCGUAAAGGACGCGUAGGCGGGUUGGAAAGUCAGGUGUGAAAUCCUACAGCUUAACUGUAGAACUGCACUUGAAACUUCUAAUCUAGAGUAUGGGAGGGGGAGAUGGAAUUAGUGGUGUAGGGGUAAAAUCCGUAGAUAUCACUAGGAAUACCUAAAGCGAAGGCGAUCUCCUGGAACAUUACUGACGCUAAGGCGUGAAAGCGUGGGGAGCAAACAGGAUUAGAUACCCCGGUAGUC
This 439-nucleotide ribosomal RNA is filed under the name uncultured bacterium. Its description in RNAcentral is "partial 16S ribosomal RNA". It matches the Rfam family "Bacterial small subunit ribosomal RNA", at positions 339 to 795 of the family's 1533-position model. The record is from RNAcentral.